CAGUAGCCGCGGGAAUACGGAGGGAGCUAGCGUUGUUCGGAAUUACUGGGCGUAAAGCGCGCGUAGGCGGUUACUCAAGUCAGAGGUGAAAGCCCGGGGCUCAACCCCGGAACUGCCUUUGAUACUAGGUGACUAGAAUCUUGGAGAGGUCAGUGGAAUUCCGAGUGUAGAGGUGAAAUUCGUAGAUAUUCGGAAGAACACCAGUGGCGAAGGCGACUGACUGGACAAGUAUUGACGCUGAGGUGCGAAAGCGUGGGGAGCAAACAGGAUUAGAUACCCGAGUAGUCCCUGUCUCUUAUAC
This 301-nucleotide ribosomal RNA is filed under the name uncultured bacterium. RNAcentral's name for it is "partial 16S ribosomal RNA". It matches the Rfam family "Bacterial small subunit ribosomal RNA", at positions 509 to 807 of the family's 1533-position model. The record is from RNAcentral.